This 740-nucleotide long non-coding RNA is filed under the name Gallus gallus (chicken). The record is from RNAcentral. Lineage: Eukaryota; Metazoa; Chordata; Aves; Galliformes; Phasianidae.
AGGAAGUAUGUCAUGUUCAUCUCUGCAACUGGUGUGACAUUUGCUUUAUGCUCUGUUUGUACUGCAUACUAUUUCUGAGGUUUAAUUUAAUUUUCAAAUUAAGGCUGUCAGUGCUCAAAAAGACCUAUGAAGUCACUGAGUAAAAAAGACUGCUACAGGUCAGCAAAAUGCAGUUUUAGUGGUGGAGGUAUAAGGUGCCUAUAAAAGUCAUCCUAGAGCAUCACUAAAGGCCACUUAUUGUCAAUAAUCAAAAGCAUCUGACAGAAGGCAUCAGCACCUCCAUUACUGUAGGAUAUAUAGACUUAUGUUCUGUUUUCUAGGUUAUAUGAGCCAUCACAAUAAGUAAUGUAAGAUAGGCGAGUAAGCUCCUACCAGAGAGAGGUACAGGACGUUCCUCAAACUGAAUUAGGUCAGCAGACUCAAGAACCACUGGAUCAGGUCUCAGCUGGGGAGAUGGUAAGCAGGAAGGAACUGGCUCACACAAGAGGUCAACAGGAGAUGUAUUUGUGAGGCAAAGAAGUUCUUGCUCAGUUUGAUUAGGAGCAUUGCUAGGUGUUCCUAGACUUAAUUCCAUUGAUGAAGUUGAUCCUGGGGUCUCCAUAAUAUGUCCAUUAUGGUCAUCAAGUUGAUUUCCAUGAUCAUCCACAUGAUCAGCAAGGGGAAAACUAGGUGAGCUAAAACGAGUUUUCAUAUCAUUUUUCAGUACCACAAUUCUCUUAUGGCCAUGUCCUUUAAUCCAG